CAGCCGCCGCGGUAAUACCGGCGGCCCGAGUGGCGGCCACUAUUAUUGGGCCUAAAGCGUCCGUAGCCGGGCUGGUAAGUCCUCCGGGAAAUCUGGUCGCUUAACGAUCAGACUUCCGGAGGAUACUGCUGGCCUAGGGACCGGGAGAGGCCGAGGGUAUUCCCGGGGGAGGGGUGAAAUCCUGUAAUCCCGGGAGGACCACCUGUGGCGAAGGCGCUCGGCUGGAACGGGUCCGACGGUGAGGGACGAAGGCCAGGGGAGCGAACCGGAUUAGAUACCCGGGUAGUCCUGGCUGUAAACGAUGCGGACUAGGUGUCGGGCAAGCUAAGGGCUUGUCCGGUGCCGCAGGGAAGCCGUUAAGUCCGCCGCCUGGGGAGUACGGCCGCAAGGCUGAAACUUAAAGGAAUUGGCGGG
Molecule: ribosomal RNA, 414 nt
Filed under: uncultured microorganism
Description: bacterial SSU rRNA
Rfam family: Archaeal small subunit ribosomal RNA
Source: RNAcentral